This is an RNA transcript of Triticum aestivum (bread wheat), 1615 nucleotides long. It is a transcript of the gene named nucleolar protein 58, with no coding region annotated. Lineage: Eukaryota; Viridiplantae; Streptophyta; Magnoliopsida; Poales; Poaceae. The transcript has 6 exons. The record is from RefSeq and is a predicted model, not a curated record.
AAGAAAUUGACAGUGGGCCGGGCUUGUCCAGGCCAGGAUUCGCCUGCACUUUUCUCCUCCGCAGUCUCUCUCCACUGCAGUGAGAGGAAGGAGCAUCGGCGGCGCCGCCGACCUCAAUCGGCUCCGUCGGCGGCAGCCACCCUCGACCUCGAAUCGAGCUUGUUGGCGGCGGUGUCUGAUCGGAAGGAGAGGGGAACAACCUGCCACCCCCCCUCUGCACCGUGUCACCGGCCAGGUAAUGGUCUCCCUCCUCCCUCCCUCCCUCCCGCGCCCGCCCAUCCCCGCCGCCCUCAGCUGCCCCUCCGGAUCCCUCCCUCCGGCCCCUCUCCUUCGGAUCCCGCGCCUCCGCCUCCUUCACUCACCGUCGACGGCGACGCCCUCCGCUGCUCCACUUAGGGCCCCCGCGUCCUUCAUCCGCGCGAGGGCGGGUCCGCUCUUCCCCGGCAUCAGCAGAUCUUCAUCAGCGACAGCGAGUUGCUGAAGUUCAAAUUGGGCAAUGGAUCUGGACACAGAGAAUCGUCUAGCUUCAUUACUCCUUGAAGAAGCACGGAGAUUACAGUUAGAGGCUGACAGGGAAGGUGUUCAUGCAUAUCUGCGAAAGCCCAAUGUUAGGCAUCGUCCAAACUCCCGUUUCCUCACAGCCACAGUUCGUGGAGUUCAACAAGCAAACCGUGUUGUGGAGGUUGAUGAAAUGUGGCGUGCCAGGGAGAAGGAACUUGAACUUGAGUCUAAGCUGAAAAGAAGAAAUAAAGAGCGUGGUGACUCUAGAGGGGAGAAACGCAAAGGUGACUCGAGAAAUAUGAGUUCCAACUCAAAGAUUGAAGAAGAAACCACUUAUAAUAGUUCUUACUCAGACCAGGAUGAUGGUCUAGGGGAUGAUGAAAUUGAAAAGUUUCUGCAUUCAAGGGUAAAGCGAGGAAGAGGUGCCGUUGGCUCUAGGAUGGAUGAACCUGGUCCAUACCUAAAGGCUUCAUCACAUUGUCGAGACGAAGAACCUAGCCCGGAUAUACGUUUGGAAGAAAAAUGGGAACGGCGAGUACAAGGUCCGGAGAGGCCACUGUUUUUGAGAUCCAAGUCUCCUGAUGAUUGCUGGCAUAAGGAAACAUUGGACGAUAAGCCAUCCAGCUCUUCUGAACCACGCGGAAAAAAGGAAAAUAAAAAGGAGAGGAAAUCAGAGAAAAAAGAGAGAAAGGAGAGAAAAGAUAAGAAGAAAUCUAAGCAUCGGCACCGCCACCACCAUCACAAAAGCCGAAGAAGGGAGUGAUGUGCCUGGAAAUCCAUUUCUGCACCCGAGCUCAUCUGCACCCGAGCCGACGAAAAAAAUCAAAACAAAUUUUUUAUUUGGAAUUUUUUGAAUUUGUUUUGAAUUUUUUACGAAUUCUUAUCUAACCAGGUGCAGAUGAGCCUGGGCACCAAAACGCCCUAUUCGUGAUGUGCCCUAUUACUGAACUACAAUAUGUACACAAGAAAAGGUUCUGUUACUAAAAGAUGCUGCUACCUGCUGCUGUUACUUGUUCAUUGGAUACCUGUGUUGUAACUAAAACUCGGCCAGUGCGUACAAGGGGUUACGGUUGGCACUGUACCCCGUGUUUAAACAUGAUCAUAUUAUGUGUUA